RNAcentral lists this ribosomal RNA (403 nucleotides) under Verrucomicrobiota bacterium. Its description in RNAcentral is "Verrucomicrobia bacterium partial 16S ribosomal RNA". It matches the Rfam family "Bacterial small subunit ribosomal RNA", at positions 355 to 776 of the family's 1533-position model. The record is from RNAcentral. Lineage: Bacteria; Pseudomonadati; Verrucomicrobiota.
UGGGGAAUAUUGCACAAUGGGCGCAAGCCUGAUGCAGCAACGCCGCGUGAACGAUGAAGGUCUUCGGAUCGUAAAGUUCUGUUGCAGGGGAAGAUAAUGACGGUACCCUGUGAGGAAGCCCCGGCUAACUACGUGCCAGCAGCCGCGGUAAUACGUAGGGGGCUAGCGUUAUCCGGAUUUACUGGGCGUAAAGGGUGCGUAGGUGGUCCUUCAAGUCGGUGGUUAAAGGCUACGGCUCAACCGUAGUAAGCCGCCGAAACUGGAGGACUUGAGUGCAGGAGAGGAAAGUGGAAUUCCCAGUGUAGCGGUGAAAUGCGUAGAUAUUGGGAGGAACCCCAGUAGCGAAGGCGGCUUUCUGGACUGCAACUGACACUGAGGCACGAAAGCGUGGGUAACAAACAGG